Long non-coding RNA from Eriocheir sinensis (Chinese mitten crab), 806 nucleotides. RefSeq lists it as uncharacterized. The record is from RefSeq and is a predicted model, not a curated record. Lineage: Eukaryota; Metazoa; Arthropoda; Malacostraca; Decapoda; Varunidae. The transcript has 4 exons.
UUGACUAAACUCUCUUUUUAUGAUUUUUCUUCCAAUUUUAGUUUAUUCCUUUUUCUAUGUAUCUGUCAUCAUCCUCAUUUUUUAACACUCCCUUCCACUUCUUACUAUUACUUUUUUUCUUUCAUUGAUGGUAGAAAACAAUGACUUCUCUUAUUUUCUUUCCGACUUUCUAUUUGGCUUAUUCCUUUUUCUAUGUUUAUGUCAUCAGCCUCAUUUUCAACCCUCCCUUCCACUUCUUACUAUUACUUUUUUUCUUUCUUUGAUGGUAGAAAACAAUGACUUCUCUUAUUUUCUUUCAGACUCUCUAUUUAGUUUAUUACUUUUUUCACAUUUUUGUCAUCAGCCUCAUUAUUGGCCUUUCUUCCCCUUCUUGUCAUUACUUAUCUUUUUUUGACUGUUGAAAACCAUGACUUUUAACUCUCAUUCUUUUUUCCACUCCAACAGACUGUUCACCCGAGCCUCAUUCACGUCCGGCGCCUCGCAUUCAUCAGGACUUUUACUUGUGUUCAUAUGGAGUCGCUGAUUUUAGGCCACGGCUUGGGUUUAGGACCGAAUAUCCUUCCUGACGUCACACGAUGGCAAUGGGGCUCGAACCGCCUCGCCACGGCUCUUCCCUUCCAUGGGUUGACGCUCUAUCCCACUCGACCACCGCGCCUCCCCAAAUAUUUUCUGGGUCAGCUUCCUCUUUCUCCUCUUCAGAGGAAGUCGAGAUCGUGACGGCCGGCAGCAAACACUCGGAUUCCUUCGGGGGCGCCUGGGUCCGCGCGCCCAACCUCUGCCGGCGCCCUUCAUUAAAAACAGGUGAG